Molecule: long non-coding RNA, 258 nt
Organism: Onychostruthus taczanowskii (white-rumped snowfinch)
Lineage: Eukaryota; Metazoa; Chordata; Aves; Passeriformes; Passeridae
Exons: 3
Source: RefSeq, a predicted model, not a curated record
CCUGCCUGGCAGGGGGAGAGAGGCUGGAUGUGGAGAAGGAGAGCUGACUCUUGGGUUUCAGUGUUGUUUCUUUGAUGGUGUCUGCAGGCAACAGUGCAUUUCCCCUGGGUUCCUGGGUUUCCUCACCCACUCUGAUGGCAACACUGGGAGGUCUCCAGCACAGUGGUGCUCCUGCGGGCUGCCUCCCCUUGCCUCACCUGCCCCAGUCCUGAGGACUUCCGAAGUGUUCCUCAGCCCUGUGAAGUCGAACUGGUAGAG